RNAcentral lists this ribosomal RNA (497 nucleotides) under uncultured bacterium. Its description in RNAcentral is "partial 16S ribosomal RNA". It matches the Rfam family "Bacterial small subunit ribosomal RNA", at positions 28 to 507 of the family's 1533-position model. The record is from RNAcentral.
GAUGAACGCUGGCGGCGUGCCUAAUACAUGCGAGUCGAGCGAACGGACGAGAAGCUUGCUUCUCUGAUGUUAGCGGCGGACGGGUGAGUAACACGUGGAUAACCUACCUAUAAGACUGGGAUAACUUCGGGAAACCGGAGCUAAUACCGGGUAAUAUUUUGAACCGCAUGGUUCAAAAGUGAAAGACGGUCUUGCUGUCACUUAUAGAUGGAUCCGCGCUGCAUUAGCUAGUUGGUAAGGUAACGGCUUACCAAGGCAACGAUGCAUAGCCGACCUGAGAGGGUGAUCGGCCACACUGGAACUGAGACACGGUCCAGACUCCUACGGGAGGCAGCAGUAGGGAAUCUUCCGCAAUGGGCGAAAGCCUGACGGAGCAACGCCGCGUGAGUGAUGAAGGUCUUCGGAUCGUAAAACUCUGUUAUUAGGGAAGAACAUAUGUGUAAGUAACUGUGCACAUCUUGACGGUACCUAAUCAGAAAGCCACGGCUAACUACGUG